UACGAAGGGGGCUAGCGUUGCUCGGAAUCACUGGGCGUAAAGCGCACGUAGGCGGACUCUUAAGUCGGUGGUGAAAUCCUGGAGCUCAACUCCAGAACUGCCUUCGAUACUGGAGAGCUCGAGUCCGGAAGAGGUGAGUGGAACUCCGAGUGUAGAGGUGAAAUUCGUAGAUAUUCGGAAGAACACCAGUGGCGAAGGCGGCUCACUGGUCCGGUACUGACGCUGAGGUGCGAAAGCGUGGGGAGCAAACAGG
Molecule: ribosomal RNA, 253 nt
Filed under: uncultured bacterium
Lineage: Bacteria
Description: partial 16S ribosomal RNA
Rfam family: Bacterial small subunit ribosomal RNA
Source: RNAcentral